RNAcentral lists this ribosomal RNA (129 nucleotides) under Staphylococcus nepalensis. RNAcentral describes it as "partial 16S ribosomal RNA". It matches the Rfam family "Bacterial small subunit ribosomal RNA", at positions 1413 to 1533 of the family's 1533-position model. Lineage: Bacteria; Bacillati; Bacillota; Bacilli; Caryophanales; Staphylococcaceae. The record is from RNAcentral.
UGUAACACCCGAAGCCGGUGGAGUAACCUUUUAGGAACUAGCCGUCGAAGGUGGGACAAAUGAUUGGGGUGAAGUCGUAACAAGGUAGCCGUAUCGGAAGGUGCGGCUGGAUCACCUCCUUUCUAAGGA